This 327-nucleotide long non-coding RNA is filed under the name Chinchilla lanigera (long-tailed chinchilla). RNAcentral describes it as "lncRNA (ENSCLAG00000028908.1)". The record is from RNAcentral. Lineage: Eukaryota; Metazoa; Chordata; Mammalia; Rodentia; Chinchillidae.
AAACAUUUUAUUAUUGCUAUUAUUUUCACAGAACCACUGAAGGUGUUUGCAACAUCUGUCAUAGGGAUCAGAAUAACAGAAGCAGGGUAUGCCCUCAAAACCACCUACUAAACCGACGGGCCGUCGCAUGAGUCCCAUGACUUCUGUACCAGAUGAGAAAUUUCUACUUUCCAAGCUAGCAUCCAAUAAAAUCUUGUUCCUCCUGAACCAACGUUUUCCUGCAGUGCAUUUGAGUUCUUUUUCUCUAAUCAGUGAUUAACAGGAAUUUUUCCUGGUACAAGAUGAAUGUGUUUUCUGAGAAUAUUAUGGGGAAAAUUUGGAAACAAA